CGGAGUAUAGCGCAGCCUGGCUAGCGCACACCCUUGGGGUGGGUGAGGUCGUGGGUUCAAAUCCCGCUACUCCGA
This is a transfer RNA of Helicobacter canadensis MIT 98-5491, 75 nucleotides long. It matches the Rfam family "tRNA". From Rfam's summary of the family: Transfer RNA (tRNA) molecules are approximately 80 nucleotides in length. Lineage: Bacteria; Pseudomonadati; Campylobacterota; Epsilonproteobacteria; Campylobacterales; Helicobacteraceae. The record is from Rfam.